Molecule: long non-coding RNA, 398 nt
Organism: Rosa chinensis
Lineage: Eukaryota; Viridiplantae; Streptophyta; Magnoliopsida; Rosales; Rosaceae
Exons: 2
Source: RefSeq, a predicted model, not a curated record
GUUGGAGCUAUCCAGAUCACUCAAAUCACAGUGAUAAAGAUCGCACGCGAAGAACUGGCCGCUGAACUUAACCCUCCGCCUCCGCGCGUGGAGAUUACGCUCUUCUCUGUCGUCGACUUCCUCCUUCUCUAAGUGUACAAAGUCAGUGGGUACACUAGAAGAGAUGUUCUCUAGCAUUCCUUACACUCACUCAUGAUAUGACAAGUGUAACUGCCAAGAAUAGUUACAGACUUGUUAUGCUACUAUGGAUAAGAAGAUUCAUCUGAAAACAAGUAUAGUUUCACCUCAACGAUUUUCAACAAAUGCUUUUUAUUUAGAAAACAUGGUUGUCGAGGUUAUGUAUGUGAACAUGUGAUUCUCAACAAUUCUUUCUACAUAUCUAAUGGUUAAAAUACUAG